CGGGUUGUAAAGUACUUUCAGCAGUGAGGAAGGUGGGUAUGUUAAUAGCAUAUUCAUUUUGACGUUUAGCUGCAGAAGAAGCACCGGCUAACUCCGUGCCAGCAGCCGCGGUAAUACGGAGGGUGCGAGCGUUAAUCGGAAUUACUGGGCGUAAAAGCGCAUGCAGGUGGUUUGUUAAGUCAGAUGUGAAAAGCCCGGGGCUCAACCUCGGAAUUGCAUUUGAAACUGGCAAACUAGAGUACUGUAGAGGGGGUAGAAUUUCAGGUGUAGCGGUGAAAAUGCGUAGAGAUCUGAAGGAAUACCGGUGGCGAAGGCGGCCCCCUGGACAGAUACUGACACUCAGAUGCGAAAGCGUGGGGAGCAAACAGGAUUAGAUACCCUGGUAG
Molecule: ribosomal RNA, 386 nt
Filed under: uncultured bacterium
Lineage: Bacteria
Description: bacterial SSU rRNA
Rfam family: Bacterial small subunit ribosomal RNA
Source: RNAcentral